This 576-nucleotide long non-coding RNA is filed under the name Mytilus galloprovincialis (Mediterranean mussel). The record is from RNAcentral. Lineage: Eukaryota; Metazoa; Mollusca; Bivalvia; Mytilida; Mytilidae.
UCUGCUCCAAAAAGUAACCUAAAUAGGAAAAAUAAACCAUAUUAAAAAGAUAUCUUAACGUGGUACCUAACACUACAGGGAUAUAACUCUGAAAAAUAAACCAUUUUUAAAAGAUAACUUUAUGUAUUCAGAAACACUGGUUUUCAAAUCCAUACUAUACAUAACAUAACAUCUGUGUUCAUUAUUUCGUUGUUCGUGUGACUAGCCUAUGUUGUCAGUUCUGAGUCAGGAAUAUGACAGUUGUUAUCAAUUCGUUUGAUGUGUUUUGAGCUGUUGAUUUUGCCAUUUGACAAAAAUUACAAAGUCUUUUCAAUACUAUAGUUUUCACUAUAGUAUUAUAUUUUUUUAAUUUUUGAUUCUGUUGUUGUAGUAAACCUUCAAUAUCAUGUGUUCUUAUUUUUGUUUUGUUUUUUUUAUCAUAUAUUUGUAUCUAAAGAUAAACAAAAGGAAAAUACAUGUUGUUAUAUAUCUGGAAAAAGUUAAAAUUGAUUGCUAUAGUCCUUAAUUAAGAAUUGAGCCCUGACGAUAUGAUUUAAGUAACAAAAGGUUCAUUACUGCAUACAAAAAUUACAAAUG